CGGCCGCGUCGACGUUUGAUCUUGGCUCAGGACGAACGCUGGCGGCGUGCCUAAUACAUGCAAGUCGAGCGCAUGAACCUGGCGGACCUCUUCGGAGGGAAACCGGGGGGAUUGAGCGGCGGACGGGUGAGUAACACGUGGGCAACCUGCCCUUCAGACGGGGAUAACUCCGGGAAACCGGAGCUAAUACCCGAUAAUCAAGCCGAUCUCCUGAUCGGCUUGUAAAAGCAUGGUCUUCGGACCAUGCACUGGGGGAUGGGCCCGCGGCGUAUUAGCUAGUUGGAGAGGUAAUGGCUCCCCAAGGCGACGAUACGUAGCCGACCUGAGAGGGUGAUCGGCCACACUGGGACUGAGACACGGCCCAGACUCCUACGGGAGGCAGCAGUAGGGAAUCAUCCGCAAUGGACGAAAGUCUGACGGUGCAACGCCGCGUGAGUGAUGAAGGUUUUCGGAUCGUAAAGCUCUGUUGUGAGGAAGAACAAGGGCGGUUCUAACGAGGCCGCCCCUGACGGUACCUCACCAGAAACGCCCCGGCUAACUACGUGCCAGCCG
Molecule: ribosomal RNA, 552 nt
Filed under: uncultured Marinococcus sp.
Lineage: Bacteria; Bacillati; Bacillota; Bacilli; Caryophanales; Bacillaceae
Description: bacterial SSU rRNA
Rfam family: Bacterial small subunit ribosomal RNA
Source: RNAcentral